Molecule: ribosomal RNA, 459 nt
Filed under: uncultured bacterium
Lineage: Bacteria
Description: partial 16S ribosomal RNA
Rfam family: Bacterial small subunit ribosomal RNA
Source: RNAcentral
CCUACGGGAGGCAGCAGUGAGGAAUAUUGGUCAAUGGGCGCGAGGCUGAACCAGCCAAGUCGCGUGAGGGAUGACGGCCCUACGGGUUGUCAACCUCUUUUGUCGGGGAGCAAAGAGAGUCACGUGUGGCUCAUUGAGAGUACCCGAAGAAAAAGCAUCGGCUAACUCCGUGCCAGCAGCAGCGGGAAUACGGAGGAUGCGAGCGUUAUCCGGAUUGAUUGGGUUUAAAGGGUGCGCAGGCGGAGGUGCAAGUCAGUGGUCAAAUUGCGGGGCUCAACCCCGUACUGCCGUUGAAACUGCAUCCCUUGAGUGCGCGAGAAGUAUGCGGAAUGCGUGGUGUAGCGGUGAAAUGCAUAGAGAUCACGCAGAACUCCGAUUGCGAAGGCAGCAUACCGGAGCGCAACUGACGCUCAUGCACGAAAGCGUGGGUAUCGAACAGGAUUAGAUACCCUUGUAGUC